Molecule: long non-coding RNA, 718 nt
Organism: Etheostoma spectabile (orangethroat darter)
Lineage: Eukaryota; Metazoa; Chordata; Actinopteri; Perciformes; Percidae
Exons: 4
Source: RefSeq, a predicted model, not a curated record
AAAAAACAGUUGAAAUGACGUCACUGCAGUCCCAGGCCAGGGUAAUCGAACCUCGAUUACAUUUAAUGCGCAUGCGUCACAGGUGAAAAAUGGCUAACCGACUGGAGGCUUCUAGCCCAGGCUCAGCAUCACAGGCACCACUGGCUACUCGGUUACUGCAGCGUUUGGAGUCAAGGAUCACUGACAUAUUAAGUCAACCUCACUUUAAUUUGGACUACUCCCAAUUCACUAUAUGAAACUGUCUGUAUAGAUACAAUAUCUGGAUCCAGCAACAAACAACUGCUCAAACACUGCCCUUUCAUUUUCCUGAAGGCAGUGGAAAACUAUGGCUGGCCUUCCAGGAUUAAGCGGCUAUGGCGAGAUGUCUGGACCUGUGUCACUCAUCUGUACUAUGACGUUCUUCAGUCUAAAAGAUGAUGGCCUGUUGGAUUUGUCAGAUGCUGUACAUCUGAUUUGUGCCCACUACAUGUUCCUUCCACGUCUGGCAGAGGCCCUUCACACCUUCAGAGGGCUGGGACAACCAUCCCUUAAAAUCUGAAGGUGGACUCUCCCCUAACCAACUCUGGGUUAUGGGUAACAUGCAGAACCCUUGUGACCCAGAUGGAGAUUUGCAGGUUUGUUGAAGCUCUCUCUCAAGGUGGUCUCUAAAGGCAAAGUGCAGCUACAAAUUUUCAACCUGAAGGUGUGGAUGUAGAUUUAUAUGAAACAAGCUGAAAUA